RNAcentral lists this ribosomal RNA (834 nucleotides) under Candida albicans. RNAcentral describes it as "LSU rRNA". It matches the Rfam family "Eukaryotic large subunit ribosomal RNA", at positions 69 to 919 of the family's 3401-position model. The record is from RNAcentral. Lineage: Eukaryota; Fungi; Ascomycota; Pichiomycetes; Serinales; Debaryomycetaceae.
UGGUCCUUGUCUAUGUUCCUUGGAAGUGAAGCGGCAAAAGCUCAAAUUUGAAAUCUGGCGUCUUUGGCGUCCGAGUUGUAAUUUGAAGAAGGUAUCUUUGGGCCCGGCUCUUGUCUAUGUUCCUUGGAACAGGACGUCACAGAGGGUGAGAAUCCCGUGCGAUGAGAUGACCCGGGUCUGUGUAAAGUUCCUUCGACGAGUCGAGUUGUUUGGGAAUGCAGCUCUAAGUGGGUGGUAAAUUCCAUCUAAAGCUAAAUAUUGGCGAGAGACCGAUAGCGAACAAGUACAGUGAUGGAAAGAUGAAAAGAACUUUGAAAAGAGAGUGAAAAAGUACGUGAAAUUGUUGAAAGGGAAGGGCUUGAGAUCAGACUUGGUAUUUUGCAUGCUGCUCUCUCGGGGGCGGCCGCUGCGGUUUACCGGGCCAGCAUCGGUUUGGAGCGGCAGGAUAAUGGCGGAGGAAUGUGGCACGGCUUCUGCUGUGUGUUAUAGCCUCUGACGAUGCUGCCAGCCUAGACCGAGGACUGCGGUUUUUAACCUAGGAUGUUGGCAUAAUGAUCUUAAGUCGCCCGUCUUGAAACACGGACCAAGGAGUCUAACGUCUAUGCGAGUGUUUGGGUGUAAAACCCGUACGCGUAAUGAAAGUGAACGAAGGUGGGGGCCCAUUAGGGUGCACCAUCGACCGAUCCUGAUGUGUUCGGAUGGAUUUGAGUAAGAGCAUAGCUGUUGGGACCCGAAAGAUGGUGAACUAUGCCUGAAUAGGGUGAAGCCAGAGGAAACUCUGGUGGAGGCUCGUAGCGGUUCUGACGUGCAAAUCGAUCGUCGAAUUUGGGUAUA